This 324-nucleotide unclassified non-coding RNA is filed under the name air metagenome. Its description in RNAcentral is "partial contains small subunit ribosomal RNA, internal transcribed spacer 1, and 5.8S ribosomal RNA". The stretch from base 1 to 46 matches the Rfam family "Eukaryotic small subunit ribosomal RNA", at positions 1786 to 1831 of the family's 1831-position model. The record is from RNAcentral.
AAGUCGUAACAAGGUUUCCGUAGGUGAACCUGCGGAAGGAUCAUUAUUGAAUAACGCUUGGUACUGUGCUGGCCUUCGGGCAUGUGCACGUAUCAUUCAUUAUUACUUAUCUCUUGUGAACCUAGUGUAGUCGUUUGCUCGUUAGUUUGAAGUGUUUGCCUGGGGAAGCUGGUCGUAAUGGACUGGCGGAACAUGGGCGCUUCGCUUUGAAUGAAGGGUAGACUUCUAUGAUUUAUAUACCUAUUAAAGUCUUAGAAUGUACAUUUAUUGACCGCAAGGUCAGUAAACCUUAUACAACUUUCAACAACGGAUCUCUUGGCUCUC